This 256-nucleotide ribosomal RNA is filed under the name uncultured bacterium. RNAcentral describes it as "partial 16S ribosomal RNA". It matches the Rfam family "Bacterial small subunit ribosomal RNA", at positions 524 to 777 of the family's 1533-position model. The record is from RNAcentral.
UACGUAGGGCGCAAGCGUUUGUCCGGAAUUAUUGGGCGUAAAGAGCUCGUAGGCGGUUUGUCGCGUCUGCCGUGAAAGUCCGGGGCUCAACUCCGGAUCUGCGGUGGGUACGGGCAGACUAGAGUGAUGUAGGGGGAGACUGGAAUUCCUGGUGUAGCGGUGAAAUGCGCAGAUAUCGGGAGGAACACCAGUGGCGAAGGCGGUUACCUGGAGCUUUGCUGACGCUGAUGCGCGAAAGCGUGGGGAGCGAGUCCGG